GGGAUUCAUGAUUCUUGACUAAUCGUGUCGCCUUGCGGACAAUGCGUCAUUCAAGUUUCUGACCUAUCAGCUUCCGACGGUAGGGAAUUGGCCUACCGUGGCAAUGACGGGUAACGGAGAAUUAGGGUUUGAUUCCGGAGAGGGAGCCUGAGAAAUGGCUACCUCAUCUAAGGAAGGCUGCAGGCGCGCAAAGGACCCAACCCUGACACAUUUUUUUUGGCCACAAAAAAUCACAAUACAGGGCAUCCAUGUCUUGUAAUUGGGGGGGGGGGGGAACUUAAAUCUCUUUAUGACUAUCAAUUGGAGGGCAAGUCUGGUGCCAGCAGCCGCGGGAAAUUCCAGCUCCAAUAGCGUAUAUUAAAAGUUGUUGCGGUAAAAAAACCUCGAAUUUGGAUUUCUGUUGGAGGAUGACCGGAUCCCGCCCCUCUUGGGGGGGGCAUCUGG
Molecule: ribosomal RNA, 444 nt
Filed under: Cladocopium sp.
Lineage: Eukaryota; Dinophyceae; Suessiales; Symbiodiniaceae
Description: partial small subunit ribosomal RNA
Rfam family: Eukaryotic small subunit ribosomal RNA
Source: RNAcentral